Molecule: non-coding RNA, 21 nt
Filed under: Arabidopsis thaliana (thale cress)
Lineage: Eukaryota; Viridiplantae; Streptophyta; Magnoliopsida; Brassicales; Brassicaceae
Source: RNAcentral
UCAGAGCUCGACAGCGGUGGU